Molecule: non-coding RNA, 99 nt
Organism: Acanthosepion pharaonis
Lineage: Eukaryota; Metazoa; Mollusca; Cephalopoda; Sepiida; Sepiidae
Source: the annotation of a GenBank genome assembly
CUUAUGGCCACAUUGAAACACCAGUUCCCAUAUGAUCACUGAAGUUAAGCAACGUUGAGCCUGGUCAGUACCUAGAUGGGUGACUGCUUGGAAAUUCCA